GACGAACGCUGGCGGCGUGCUUAACACAUGCAAGUCGAACGGAAAGGCCCUGCUUUUGUGGGGUGCUCGAGUGGCGAACGGGUGAGUAACACGUGAGUAACCUGCCCUUGACUUUGGGAUAACUUCAGGAAACUGGGGCUAAUACCGGAUAGGAGUUCCUGCUGCAUGGUGGGGGUUGGAAAGUUUCGGCGGUUGGGGAUGGACUCGCGGGUUAUCAGCUUGUUGGUGGGGUAGUGGCUUACCAAGGCUUUGACGGGUAGCCGGCCUGAGAGGGUGACCGGCCACAUUGGGACUGAGAUACGGCGCAGACUCGUACGGGAGGCAGCAGUGGGGAAUAUUGCACAAUGGGCGGAAGCCUGAUGCAGCAACGCCGCGUGCGGGAUGACGGCCUUCGGGUUGUAAACCGCUUUCGCCUGUGACGAAGCGUGAGUGACGGUAAUGGGUAAAGAAGCACCGGCUAACUACGUG
Molecule: ribosomal RNA, 468 nt
Filed under: uncultured bacterium
Lineage: Bacteria
Description: partial 16S ribosomal RNA
Rfam family: Bacterial small subunit ribosomal RNA
Source: RNAcentral